UUACCAUGCAAGUCGAGCGGGCGUAGCAAUACGUCAGCGGCAGACGGGUGAGUAACGCGUGGGAACGUACCUUUUGGUUCGGAACAACACAGGGAAACUUGUGCUAAUACCGGAUAAGCCCUUACGGGGAAAGAUUUAUCGCCGAAAGAUCGGCCCGCGUCUGAUUAGCUAGUUGGUAGGGUAAUGGCCUACCAAGGCGACGAUCAGUAGCUGGUCUGAGAGGAUGAUCAGCCACAUUGGGACUGAGACACGGCCCAAACUCCUACGGGAGGCAGCAGUGGGGAAUAUUGGACAAUGGGGGCAACCCUGAUCCAGCCAUGCCGCGUGAGUGAUGAAGGCCCUAGGGUUGUAAAGCUCUUUUGUGCGGGAAGAUAAUGACGGUACCGCAAGAAUAAGCCCCGGCUAACUUCGUGCCAGCAGCCGCGGUAAUACGAAGGGGGCUAGCGUUGCUCGGAAUCACUGGGCGUAAAGGGUGCGUAGGCGGGUUUUUAAGUCAGGGGUGAAAUCCUGGAGCUCAACUCCAGAACUGCCUUUGAUACUGAAGAUCUUGAGUCCGGGAGAGGUGAGUGGAACUGCGAGUGUAGAGGUGAAAUUCGUAGAUAUUCGCAAGAACACCAGUGGCGAAGGCGGCUCACUGGCCCGGUACUGACGCUGAGGCACGAAAGCGUGGGGAGCAAACAGGAUUAGAUACCCUGGUAGUCCACGCCGUAACGAUGAAUGCCAGCCGUUAGUGGGUUUACUCACUAGUGGCGCAGCUAACGCUUUAAGCAUUCCGCCUGGGGAGUACGUC
RNAcentral lists this ribosomal RNA (790 nucleotides) under Bradyrhizobium sp. RNAcentral's name for it is "bacterial SSU rRNA". It matches the Rfam family "Bacterial small subunit ribosomal RNA", at positions 49 to 886 of the family's 1533-position model. The record is from RNAcentral. Lineage: Bacteria; Pseudomonadati; Pseudomonadota; Alphaproteobacteria; Hyphomicrobiales; Nitrobacteraceae.